Molecule: ribosomal RNA, 325 nt
Filed under: Xylariaceae sp. PSU-A80
Lineage: Eukaryota; Fungi; Ascomycota; Sordariomycetes; Xylariales; Xylariaceae
Description: partial 18S ribosomal RNA
Source: RNAcentral
ACCUCUGUUUCCUCCGGCGUACAGCGCCCUGGCCUACCUACAGGGCCUCCCCCCCCUAAGGGGGGUUGACCUGCUAGGGAGGUGCCUAGCUGAUCAGUACCUAAUCCUUCGGGCUCUGGGUAGCUGUGAUAGGUGCCGACCAAGGCCUCGGUAGCGCGCCGAGAGGACCGCUCGAAGCUCUUUUUCUCCAACUCUUGCUAGAACAAACCCUUAUCGAAGGAACUAUUCCAAUAAAAACCACUCGAAAAAAAUAUCGAAGAAAAUUAUCGAAGUAACUAUCGAAGAAAUUAUCGAAGAUUCUUUUUUUUACGGCUAUUAAUGAUUU